AGAGGCCAUGGCUCAAUGGAAGAGCGUCUGCUUUUUAUGCAGGAAGUCCCAGGUUCAAUCCCUGGUGCCUCCA
Molecule: non-coding RNA, 73 nt
Organism: Heteronotia binoei (common prickly gecko)
Lineage: Eukaryota; Metazoa; Chordata; Lepidosauria; Squamata; Gekkonidae
Source: the annotation of a RefSeq genome assembly